CGUUUCUUCAUCAUUACUUAAUUUCUGGAGUAAAAUUUAGAAGUCCACAUCUAAUCUAAUAUUAUGCAAUUUACUGACCUCCAUUUAUCCUUUUCUUUCUCUUGUUUCAUCAUUCAGAUUGGUGCUCACCACUUUGCUAUUUGCAUCAAACAAACACGUGUUGCAGGUUCACUUCGCAGAACGCGUGGACAGGGUACUUUCAGAUCUUGGUGGCGUGGAUGGUUGAUAAGGCCAAGUUUGUUGCCUUCGUCAAGGACUGCUUCGUUAAGAUGGAAUGACCUCGGCAUUGAUCACUAAGCAGAAGAAGUGGAGCAAGGGUAAGGAGAAGGUGAACAACGUGCUGCUGUUUGACCAGGCCACAUAUGACAAGCUCAUCAGCAAGCAGCUGGGGUUCAGACUCACAAACAUUUUUGUAGCACUGCAUGUGUUGUAUGUGUCUGUCGGAGGAUUGAUUGUGGAAACUUCCAUGCUGUGCAUCAGCUUUGCCUGAUGUUCGUUGUUUUGUGUCAUGGAGUGUCUCCUGGAGUUGAAUGGUUUGUUUGAAAUGUCCCGAGUUUGCUCUGUGAUCUAAAUGUCCGAAAAACAAUAAGGUCAUGUCGAAAUUCUAAA
Lolium rigidum is the source of this 609-nucleotide long non-coding RNA. RefSeq lists it as uncharacterized. The record is from RefSeq and is a predicted model, not a curated record. The transcript has 2 exons. Lineage: Eukaryota; Viridiplantae; Streptophyta; Magnoliopsida; Poales; Poaceae.